AACCCAUGGUGUUGACAUUUCUGAAGAAGUUCUUUGAAAUGUUCCCAUGUUUCAUAUAAAGAUUCCCCAUCUUCUUGAAGAAAAUAGCUAAUUUCAAUCAUUAGUU
This is a non-coding RNA of Helianthus annuus (common sunflower), 106 nucleotides long. Lineage: Eukaryota; Viridiplantae; Streptophyta; Magnoliopsida; Asterales; Asteraceae. The record is from Rfam.